GCGCCUAUAGCUCAGUUGGAUAGAGUGUUGGUUUCCGAAACCAAAGGCCGGAGGUUCAAUUCCUCCUAGGCGCGCCA
RNAcentral lists this transfer RNA (77 nucleotides) under Ignatzschineria rhizosphaerae. RNAcentral describes it as "Ignatzschineria sp. HR5S32 tRNA-Arg". It matches the Rfam family "tRNA". Rfam says of the family: Transfer RNA (tRNA) molecules are approximately 80 nucleotides in length. Their secondary structure includes four short double-helical elements and three loops (D, anti-codon, and T loops). The record is from RNAcentral. Lineage: Bacteria; Pseudomonadati; Pseudomonadota; Gammaproteobacteria; Cardiobacteriales; Ignatzschineriaceae.